GACCGCUCCGGUGGCCUAGUGGUUGGAGCGUCCGCCGUGAAUGCAGGAAGUCGUUAGUUCGAACCUCAACCGAGUCA
Potamilus streckersoni is the source of this 77-nucleotide non-coding RNA. The record is from the annotation of a GenBank genome assembly. NCBI's taxonomy places the organism in Eukaryota, Metazoa, Mollusca, Bivalvia, Unionida, Unionidae.